This 833-nucleotide ribosomal RNA is filed under the name uncultured bacterium. RNAcentral describes it as "bacterial SSU rRNA". It matches the Rfam family "Bacterial small subunit ribosomal RNA", at positions 8 to 862 of the family's 1533-position model. The record is from RNAcentral.
AGAGUUUGAUCCUGGCUCAGGAUGAACGCUAGCGGCGGGCUUAAUACAUGCAAGUCAAGGGGUAGCAAUACACCGGCGUACGGGUGCGUAACGCGUAUGGAACCUGCCCUUAUCUGGGGGAUAACUCGGGGAAACUCGAGCUAAUACCGCAUAAGAUAGUAGAAUGGCAUCAUUCAGCUAUUAAAGAUUUAUUGGAUAAGGAUGGCCAUGCGUAAGAUUAGAUAGUUGGCGAGGUAACGGCUCACCAAGUCUACGAUCUUUAGGGGCUCUGAGAGGAGAAUCCCCCACACUGGCACUGAGAUACGGGCCAGACUCCUACGGGAGGCAGCAGUAGGGAAUAUUGGGCAAUGGGCGGAAGCCUGACCCAGCCACGCCGCGUGCAGGAAGACGGCCCUCUGGGUUGUAAACUGCUUUUAACUGGGAAGAAAAGAGGCCUUGCGAGGCAAGUUGACGGUACCAGUUGAAUAAGCCACGGCUAACUACGUGCCAGCAGCCGCGGUAAUACGUAGGUGGCGAGCGUUAUCCGGAUUUAUUGGGUUUAAAGGGAGCGUAGGCGGCUGAUUAAGUCAGCGGUGAAAGGUAGCAGCUUAACUGUUUUACAUGCCGUUGAUACUGGUUAGCUUGAGUUGACAGAAGGCAGAUAGAAUUCCUGAUGUAGCGGUGAAAUGCUUAGAUAUCAGGAGGAAUACCGAUUGCGAAGGCAGUCUGCUGCAGUCACACUGACGCUGAGGCUCGAAGGUGCGGGGAUCAAACAGGAUUAGAUACCCUGGUAGUCCGCACAGUAAACGAUGAUUACUAGAUGUUGGCCAAGCCAGUGUCCAAGGAAACCGAUA